GUUCUCCAUAGUCAGUAGGCUCUAUAAGGUGCUGAGGCAACAGUGGUGAUGCUGGACUCUGACUCUUUGGGACUUCAUACUGGUGUGAAGGCCACAGUGGAAUUAAAACCUUUAGGAAGAACAACGUGAGUGGUAGGAUUAAGACAAAGAAGGAGAAGAACAAUUUGGAUUGUGAAAAACAGAAUAAAUGUCAGAAUAAAUGAUGAGACUGUGA
Non-coding RNA from Coturnix japonica (Japanese quail), 214 nucleotides. NCBI's taxonomy places the organism in Eukaryota, Metazoa, Chordata, Aves, Galliformes, Phasianidae. The record is from RefSeq and is a predicted model, not a curated record.